UACGUAGGUGACAAGCGUUGUCCGGAUUUACUGGGCGUAAAGGGUGCGUAGGUGGCAUGGUAAGUUUGAUGUGAAAGCUCAGGGCUUAACCCUGAAAUGGCAUUGAAUACUACUGUGCUGGAGGUUUGGAGGGGGGACUGGAAUUCUUGGUGUAGCAGUGAAAUGCGUAGAUAUCAAGAGGAACACCAGUGGCGAAGGCGAGUCCCUGGACAACACCUGACACUGAGGCACGAAAGCUAGGGGAGCAAACAGG
This 253-nucleotide ribosomal RNA is filed under the name uncultured bacterium. Its description in RNAcentral is "partial 16S ribosomal RNA". It matches the Rfam family "Bacterial small subunit ribosomal RNA", at positions 524 to 776 of the family's 1533-position model. The record is from RNAcentral.